AUGUCCAGUAGACUCGCCGGGAUCUGUCAUAUUCUUAAUGCGUUGGACUUUCUGUGCGUAUCAGUGUCCAUUCCUCGUGCCAUCUCUUAGAAUUUCAACACUUUGCCCGGAAUUUAACUUUAUUUUUUUUUAUUUAAACCACAAUGAAGACGAAGAACUAAACAAGAAAACCUCGAAACCAGAGCCGCUCUUCUCAGUGAGUUGAUUAUACCCACGGCAAAAAGAUGAAAAUGAAACUAAAUGUGAUGGCGGUUAUUGUAACAGCUCUUUUUGUGAGUGUGGACGCUUUCAUUUUGCAAGAUCAGGACAACCAGCCAGAUCUUUCUGAAGCAGAUUCGAUUCCUGUAGAAAAACGAGGUAGACUCUCAUUAACUGCUGAUUUACGGAGCCUGGCGCGCAUGCUUGAAGCCCACCGAAAACGUUUCAUAGCAAGUAGAUUCCCAUACGAUUCCAUCCGUAAAAAGUUGUUCCGAUACGGCAAAAGAAGCCCUAUAACAGAAACACUGGAAUACAACGAAGGAGAAGACAGAUCAAACGCCCUUGAUUCUGAAUUUCCGAGUUUAAAAGUCGAAGAAGAAACACCCAUCUAUAACAUAAAACGCCAACGUCUGUCUGUGAACGGGGCCCUAUCAUCUCUUGCCGACAUGUUGGCGGCCAAUGGGAGACAGAGGAUGAUGUCAGAAAUGGCCAUGAAUCGGCAAAGACUUUUUGGACUAGGGAAAUAGUUAAUUAAAAAUUUGUGUAGAUAUUUCAUACAGUUACUCUUAUUCCAACUAACUUGGACAAGCAGUGUACAGUGUGCAAAAUUUCGCCAUUUUUAUAAAUAUAUUGUUUCGAUUUUCAUUUCAUUUUCAUAUAAGCAGGUAAAUGUUCAUUAUUUAGUCUGAAACUUUGGAAUCUAUCAUGGUUUUAGAAUAGAAUCACGAUAGUGAUUAUUUUCAUUAAAUUAAAUUAAACCCCAA
This is an RNA transcript of Magallana angulata, 962 nucleotides long. RefSeq lists it as uncharacterized. The transcript has 3 exons. NCBI's taxonomy places the organism in Eukaryota, Metazoa, Mollusca, Bivalvia, Ostreida, Ostreidae. The record is from RefSeq and is a predicted model, not a curated record.